UACGUAGGGGGCAAGCGUUGUCCGGAAUCAUUGGGCGUAAAGAGCGUGUAGGCGGCCAGAAAAGUCCGCUGUGAAAACUCGAGGCUCAACUUCGAGCUGUCGGUGGAAACUUUCUGGCUAGAGUCCGGAAGAGGAGAAUGGAAUUCCUGGUGUAGCGGUGAAAUGCGCAGAUAUCAGGAAGAACACCCGUGGCGAAGGCGGUUCUCUGGGACGGUACUGACGCUGGAGACGCGAAAGCGUGGGGAGCGAACAGG
This 254-nucleotide ribosomal RNA is filed under the name uncultured bacterium. Its description in RNAcentral is "partial 16S ribosomal RNA". It matches the Rfam family "Bacterial small subunit ribosomal RNA", at positions 524 to 776 of the family's 1533-position model. The record is from RNAcentral.